CUCUUAUCAAGAGCGGCGGAGGGAUAGGCCCUGCGAUGCCCAGCAACCGGUGAGUGACGAACUCACAAUGGUGCUAAUUCCUACAGAUUUUUAAUCGGAUCUGACAGAUAAGGG
Molecule: non-coding RNA, 114 nt
Filed under: Viridibacillus arenosi
Lineage: Bacteria; Bacillati; Bacillota; Bacilli; Caryophanales; Caryophanaceae
Also listed under: 1 other name
Description: SAM-I sequence
Rfam family: SAM riboswitch aptamer (S box leader)
About the family: The SAM riboswitch is found upstream of a number of genes which code for proteins involved in methionine or cysteine biosynthesis in Gram-positive bacteria. The SAM riboswitch acts at the level of transcription termination control.
Source: RNAcentral